RNAcentral lists this unclassified non-coding RNA (348 nucleotides) under Orbicella faveolata. RNAcentral describes it as "translation initiation factor eIF-2B subunit beta- like, transcript variant X2". The record is from RNAcentral. Lineage: Eukaryota; Metazoa; Cnidaria; Anthozoa; Scleractinia; Merulinidae.
UUCGUUCGGUUUUAAAUGACAAGGUUUCGUCCUUACCCCUUUUGGUUUUAAUUCCUUUUUGCAGGAUAGCUGCAAUAAAUUCGUCGUUCCUCAUGAUGUUAUGAAGUUCUCCGAAGGAAACAUAUUGUCUAAAAUUGAUGUCCACAAUCCAGUGUUUGACUACAUACCGCCAGAUUUAGUAAACCUUUGCAUUUCAAACAUUGGUGGUUAUUCUCCGUCUUACGUGUAUCGACUUGUCAGUGAGCUAUAUCAUGCAGAUGACAACUGCUUAUGACAAGGCCAGUAGUGGCUGCGCCCAUGUACACGACUAUUCUCACAGAAGCACACUUUCACACACGACUCCUGUUU